UACGUAGGUGGCAAGCGUUGUCCGGAUUUACUGGGUGUAAAGGGCGUGCAGCCGGGAGUGCAAGUCAGAUGUGAAAUCCCGCGGCUCAACCGCGGAACUGCAUUUGAAACUGUGCUUCUUGAGUGCUGGAGAGGCAGACGGAAUUCCUAGUGUAGCGGUGAAAUGCGUAGAUAUUAGGAGGAACACCAGUGGCGAAGGCGGCCGCCUGGCCUGUUACUGACGCUGAGGCACGAAAGCGUGGGGAGCAAAUAGG
Molecule: ribosomal RNA, 253 nt
Filed under: uncultured Oscillospiraceae bacterium
Lineage: Bacteria; Bacillati; Bacillota; Clostridia; Eubacteriales; Oscillospiraceae
Description: partial 16S ribosomal RNA
Rfam family: Bacterial small subunit ribosomal RNA
Source: RNAcentral